AUGCAGAGGGAUAAAGCAGUAGCAGGUGGUUUGAGAAUUAUUAAAGGUGAUGUUGUGAAGUGGUCAUUGAGAAGUUGCAGAAGAUUGGUGCAAGAGGAAACCGUGCAUUGGAGGUCGGAGUUGAUAAAGGUUCAUAGAAAGAGGGGAGUUCCUGAUUUUUUUGUGAAGUUUCUAUUAUGA
Non-coding RNA from Vicia faba (fava bean), 180 nucleotides. The record is from the annotation of a GenBank genome assembly. NCBI's taxonomy places the organism in Eukaryota, Viridiplantae, Streptophyta, Magnoliopsida, Fabales, Fabaceae.